RNAcentral lists this ribosomal RNA (404 nucleotides) under Acidobacteriota bacterium. RNAcentral describes it as "Acidobacteria bacterium partial 16S ribosomal RNA". It matches the Rfam family "Bacterial small subunit ribosomal RNA", at positions 355 to 776 of the family's 1533-position model. The record is from RNAcentral. Lineage: Bacteria; Pseudomonadati; Acidobacteriota.
UGGGGAAUAUUGGACAAUGGGCGAAAGCCUGAUCCAGCAAUGCCGCGUGGGUGAAGAAGGUCUUCGGAUCGUAAAGCCCUUUCGACGGGGACGAUGAUGACGGUACCCGUAGAAGAAGCGCCGGCUAACUUCGUGCCAGCAGCCGCGGUAAUACGAAGGGGGCUAGCGAUGCUCGGAAUUACUGGGCGUAAAGGGCGCGUAGGCGGCGGCCCAAGUCAGGCGUGAAAUUCCUGGGCUCAACCUGGGGACUGCGCUUGAUACUGGGUUGCUUGAGGAUGGAAGAGGCUCGUGGAAUUCCCAGUGUAGAGGUGAAAUUCGUAGGUAUUGGGAAGAACACCGGUGGCGAAGGCGGCGAGCUGGUCCAUUACUGAAGCUAAGGCGCGACAGCGUGGGGAGCAAACAGG